CCUACGGGAGGCAGCAGUGGGGAAUAUUGGGCAAUGGGCGCAAGCCUGACCCAGCAACGCCGCGUGAAGGAAGAAGGCUUUCGGGUUGUAAACUUCUUUUCUGAGGGACGAAGAAAGUGACGGUACCUCAGGAAUAAGCCACGGCUAACUACGUAGCAGCAGCCGCGGUAAUACGUAGGUGGCAAGCGUUAUCCGGAUUUAUGGGGUGUAAAGGGCGUGUAGGCGGGAAAGCAAGUCAGAUGUAAAAACUCAGGGCUAAACCCUGAGCCUUCAUUUGAAACUGUUUUUCUUGAGUGCUGGAGAGGCAAUCGGAAUUUCGUGUGUAGCGGUGAAAUGCGUAGAUAUACGGAGGAACACCAGUGGCGAAGGCGGAUUGCUGGACAGUAACUGACGCUGAGGCGCGAAAGCGUGGGGAGCAAACAGGAUUAGAUACCCUUGUAGUC
Molecule: ribosomal RNA, 443 nt
Filed under: uncultured bacterium
Lineage: Bacteria
Description: partial 16S ribosomal RNA
Rfam family: Bacterial small subunit ribosomal RNA
Source: RNAcentral